Panus rudis PR-1116 ss-1 is the source of this 88-nucleotide non-coding RNA. The record is from the annotation of a GenBank genome assembly. NCBI's taxonomy places the organism in Eukaryota, Fungi, Basidiomycota, Agaricomycetes, Polyporales, Panaceae.
UCUCUGCUAGUAUAUCGGUUAGUACACGCGCCUGUCAUUCAAUUUCAGACGGUCGCGCGAAAGCUGGGUUCGACUCCCAGGCAGAGAG